GAUACCUGUGGAAUGCUAGCUUGUCACACAGAAUAUUAACAACACCAAACAUCACCUGCCUUUUAGAAUCUCAUUGUACAGGUAGUUAAAGCGCAGAAGACGAAUCCAAGUUUCAUAAUUCCCAGGCUGAAUCUCUAACGCAUGGGGUAUCUCUUCACGGCUGCUCCAGCAAAGUGCAGCCACUGCUCCUUACCUUGGACCAGGGGUAUCUCCUCACCGCCGCCCUUCCUGACCUUCAAUGUGGGAUAGCUUCUCUAGGCCCUCUUGCGCCUGUGCAGCCACCGCUCCUUGGAAGUGCGGUUGGUCCUCCCGGCCGCCGCCCCUGGCCUCGGGUGUGGG
Bos taurus (domestic cattle) is the source of this 339-nucleotide long non-coding RNA. The record is from Ensembl. Lineage: Eukaryota; Metazoa; Chordata; Mammalia; Artiodactyla; Bovidae.